CGCGUAGGUGGCUUGUCAGGUCUGAUGUGAAAUCCUGGGGCUCAACCCCAGGCCUGCAUCGGAAACCGGCUUGCUCGAGUCUGGGAGAGGAGAGUGGAAUUCCUGGUGUAGCGGUGAAAUGCGUAGAUAUCAGGAGGAACACCGGUAGCGAAGGCGGCUCUCUGGAACAGUACUGACACUGAGGCGCGAAAGCUAGGGGAGCAAACAGGAUUAGAUACCCUGGUAGUCCUAGCCGUAAACGAUGGACACUAGGUGUCGGGGGUGUCGACUCCCCCGGUGCCGAAGCUAACGCAUUAAGUGUCCCGCCUGGGGAGUACGGCCGCAAGGCUAAA
Molecule: ribosomal RNA, 332 nt
Filed under: uncultured bacterium
Lineage: Bacteria
Description: bacterial SSU rRNA
Rfam family: Bacterial small subunit ribosomal RNA
Source: RNAcentral